GAAAAGGCAAACCUUGGAUUUCCGUGUCUAACAUUUGACUGUCUGUUUUAUAUGAAAUUUUUUUAUAAUUAGUAUUUUCAUUGUUGUUAGAUGAUAAAACAUGAUUAAUAUUUUAUGCGUGACUUGUCUUUUUAAUUUUUUUCAUAUUUUUUUCAAAUAAGACGGAUGGUCAAACGUUGGACACGGAAAUCCAAG
This 195-nucleotide microRNA precursor is filed under the name Oryza rufipogon (brownbeard rice). Its description in RNAcentral is "MIR812 microRNA precursor family". It matches the Rfam family "MIR812 microRNA precursor family". The record is from Rfam by way of RNAcentral. Lineage: Eukaryota; Viridiplantae; Streptophyta; Magnoliopsida; Poales; Poaceae.